AGGUGGGAUUAACUAGUUGGUGAGGUAAUGGCUCACCAAGGCGACGAUCCCUAGCUGGUCUGAGAGGAUGAUCAGCCACAUUGGAACUGAGACACGGUCCAGACUCCUACGGGAGGCAGCAGUGGGAAUAUUGCACAAUGGGCGCAAGCCUGAUGCAGCCAUGCCGCGUGUAUGAAGAAGGCCUUCGGGUUGUAAAGUACUUUCAGCAGUGAGGAAGGUUCAUGCGUUAAUAGCGUAUGGAUUUGACGUUAGCUGCAGAAGAAGCACCGGCUAACUCCGUGCCAGCAGCCGCGGUAAUACGGAGGGUGCGAGCGUUAAUCGUUAAAUUACUGGGCGUAAAGCGCAUGCAGGUGGUUUGUUAAGUCAGAUGUGAAAGCCCGGGGCUCAACCUCGGAACCGCAUUUGAAACUGGCAGGCUAGAGUACUGUAGAGGGGGGUAGAAUUUCAGGUGUAGCGGUGAAAUGCGUAGAGAUCUGAAGGAAUACCAGUGGCGAAGGCGGCCCCCUGGACAGAUACUGACACUCAGAUGCGAAAGCGUGGGGAGCAAACAGGAUUAGAUACCCUGGUAGUCCACGCCGUAAACGAUGUCUACUUGGAGGUUGUGGCCUUGAGCCGUGGCUUUCGGAGCUAACGCGUUAAGUAGACCGCCUGGGGAGUACGGUCGCAAGAUUAAAACUCAAAUGAAUUGACGGGGGCCCGCACAAGCGGUGGAGCAUGUGGUUUAAUUCGAUGCAACGCGAAGAACCUUACCUACUCUUGACAUCCAGAGAACUUUCCAGAGAUGGAUUGGUGCCUUCGGGAACUCUGAGACAGGUGCUGCAUGGCUGUCGUCAGCUCGUGUUGUGAAAUGUUGGGUUAAGUCCCGCAACGAGCGCAACCCUUAUCCUUGUUUGCCAGCGAGUAAUGUCGGGAACUCCAGGGAGACUGCCGGUGAUAAACCGGAGGAAGGUGGGGACGACGUCAAGUCAUCAUGGCCCUUACGAGUAGGGCUACACACGUGCUACAAUGGCGCAUACAGAGGGCGGCCAACCAGCGAUGGUGAGCGAAUCCCAAAAAGUGCGUCGUAGUCCGGAUUGGAGUCUGCAACUCGACUCCAUGAAGUCGGAAUCGCUAGUAAUCGUGAAUCAGAAUGUCACGGUGAAUACGUUCCCGGGCCUUGUACACACCGCCCGUCACACCAUGGGAGUGGGCUGCAAAAGAAGUGGGUAGUUUAACCUUUCGGGGAGGACGCUCACCACUUUGUGGUUCAUGACUGGGGUGAAGUC
Molecule: ribosomal RNA, 1265 nt
Filed under: metagenome
Description: bacterial SSU rRNA
Rfam family: Bacterial small subunit ribosomal RNA
Source: RNAcentral